This 187-nucleotide ribosomal RNA is filed under the name Scandinavium goeteborgense. Its description in RNAcentral is "partial 16S ribosomal RNA". It matches the Rfam family "Bacterial small subunit ribosomal RNA", at positions 1 to 179 of the family's 1533-position model. The record is from RNAcentral. Lineage: Bacteria; Pseudomonadati; Pseudomonadota; Gammaproteobacteria; Enterobacterales; Enterobacteriaceae.
UUAAAUUGAAGAGUUUGAUCAUGGCUCAGAUUGAACGCUGGCGGCAGGCCUAACACAUGCAAGUCGAGCGGUAACACAGGAGAGCUUGCUCUCUGGGUGACGAGCGGCGGACGGGUGAGUAAUGUCUGGGAAACUGCCCGAUGGAGGGGGAUAACUACUGGAAACGGUAGCUAAUACCGCAUAACGU